This 301-nucleotide ribosomal RNA is filed under the name uncultured bacterium. RNAcentral describes it as "partial 16S ribosomal RNA". It matches the Rfam family "Bacterial small subunit ribosomal RNA", at positions 509 to 807 of the family's 1533-position model. The record is from RNAcentral.
CAGUAGCCACGGUAAUACGAGGGGGGCAAGCGUUGUUCGGAAUUAUUGGGCGUAAAGGGCGCGUAGGCGGUUUGACAAGUCUGAUGUGAAAUCUCUGGGCUCAACCCAGAGUCUGCAUCGGAAACUGUCGAGCUUGAGUAUGGGAGAGGUGAGUGGAAUUUCCGGUGUAGCGGUGAAAUGCGUAGAUAUCGGAAGGAACACCUGUGGCGAAAGCGGCUCACUGGACCAUUACUGACGCUGAGGCGCGAAAGCUAGGGGAGCAAACAGGAUUAGAUACCCGCGUAGUCCCUGUCUCUUAUAC